Molecule: ribosomal RNA, 460 nt
Filed under: uncultured bacterium
Lineage: Bacteria
Description: partial 16S ribosomal RNA
Rfam family: Bacterial small subunit ribosomal RNA
Source: RNAcentral
CCUACGGGUGGCAGCAGUGAGGAAUAUUGGUCAAUGGACGAGAGUCUGAUCCAGCCACGUAGCGUGAAGGAUGACUGCCCUAGGGGUUGUACACUUCUUUUAUAAAGGACUAAAACGAGGCACGGGUGCCUUUUUGCAUGUACUUUAUGACUAAGGAUCGGCUAACUCCGUGCAAGCAGCCGCGGUAAGACGGAGGAUACGAGCGUUACCCGGAUUUAUUGGGUUUAAAGGGAGAGUAGAUGGGUUGUUAUGUCAGUUGUGAAAGUUUGCGGCGCAACCGUAAAAUUGCAAUUGAUACUGGCAGUCUUGAGUACAGUUGAGGUAGGCGGAAUUCGUGGUGUAGCGGUGAAAUGCUUAGAUAUCACGAAGAACCCCGAUUGCGAAGGCAGCUUACUAAGCUGUUACUGACAUUGAUGCUCGAAAGUGUGGGUAUCAAACAGGAUUAGAUACCCGUGUAGUC